AUGCCGACAGCACCAAGCUCUUCUUCUCUGAGGUCAACUCCGCUUUCCAUGGCGAGAAGGAUGUGGUCCUGUGCUGUAUCGUUGGAGAACAUGAUAACGGGCAUUGUUACGGCUGCGAAGGCUUCAAGCCAACCGUUGUUCACCCUAGCAGCCAAGCAUAUGGCGGUGGUAGUAGUACUUGCAUUGAUUUUGCUGGUUCAGACGGAGGCUCGGAGAGUGAUUAAAACGCAAAAUUUUCCAGUGGUUGAGCUCGGUGAUUGGAUUUGGCUUGCAUGCAUGGCUAAUCUUCCAAUGUGUUCUGUCUUAGCUCUUCAUAAUAAGAUAAACUUACUUUGGUGGUUAAUGCCGUUCUUAAAUAGUACUAUCUUUUAG
Molecule: ribosomal RNA, 372 nt
Filed under: Triticum aestivum (bread wheat)
Lineage: Eukaryota; Viridiplantae; Streptophyta; Magnoliopsida; Poales; Poaceae
Description: partial small subunit ribosomal RNA
Source: RNAcentral